Molecule: transfer RNA, 88 nt
Filed under: subsurface metagenome
Description: tRNA-Leu
Rfam family: tRNA
About the family: Transfer RNA (tRNA) molecules are approximately 80 nucleotides in length.
Source: RNAcentral
GCCGGAGUGGCGGAAUUGGCAGACGCCUUGGACUUAAAAUCCAAUGGGUAUUUGAUACCCGUGCCGGUUCGAGUCCGGCCUCCGGCAC